CGGCCCCCUGGACAAGACUGACGCUCAGGUGCGAAAGCGUGGGGAGCAAACAGGAUUAGAUACCUGGUAGUCACGCUGUAAACGAUGUCGAUUUGAAGGUUGUUCCCUUGAGGAGUGGCUUUCGGAGCUAACGCGUUAAAUCGACCGCUGGGGAGUACGGCCGCAAGGUUAAAACUCAAAUGAAUUGACGGGGGCCCGCACAAGCGGUGGAGCAUGUGGUUUAAUUCGAUGCAACGCGAAGAACCUUACCUACUCUUGACAUCCAGAGAAUUUAGCAGAGAUGCUUUAGUGCCUUCGGGAACUCUGAGACAGGUGCUGCAUGGCUGUCGUCAGCUCGUGUUGUGAAAUGUUGGGUUAAGUCCCGCAACGAGCGCAACCCUUAUCCUUUGUUGCCAGCACGUAAUGGUGGGAACUCAAAGGAGACUGCCGGUGGUAAACCGGAGGAAGGUGGGGAUGACGUCAAGUCAUCAUGGCCCUUACGAGUAGGGCUACACACGUGCUACAAUGGCGUAUACAAAGAGAAGCGAACUUGCGAGAGUAAGCGGAACUCAUAAAGUACGUCGUAGUCCGGAUUGGAGUCUGCAACUCGACUCCAUGAAGUCGGAAUCGCUAGUAAUCGUAGAUCAGAAUGCUACGGUGAAUACGUUCCCGGGCCUUGUACACACCGCCCGUCACACCAUGGGAGUGGGUUGCAAAAGAAGUAGGUAGCUUAACCUUCGGGAGGGCGCUUACCACUUUGUGAUUCAUGACUGGGGUGAAGUCGUAACAAGGUAACCA
This 777-nucleotide ribosomal RNA is filed under the name uncultured Providencia sp. RNAcentral's name for it is "bacterial SSU rRNA". It matches the Rfam family "Bacterial small subunit ribosomal RNA", at positions 722 to 1502 of the family's 1533-position model. Lineage: Bacteria; Pseudomonadati; Pseudomonadota; Gammaproteobacteria; Enterobacterales; Morganellaceae. The record is from RNAcentral.